Long non-coding RNA from Gymnogyps californianus (California condor), 507 nucleotides. RefSeq lists it as uncharacterized. The record is from RefSeq and is a predicted model, not a curated record. The transcript has 2 exons. NCBI's taxonomy places the organism in Eukaryota, Metazoa, Chordata, Aves, Accipitriformes, Cathartidae.
GUGCCUGCCUGGCACAGUGAGCCCCCCACGCUCGGGCGGCCCCACACCGCCCUGGUGCGCCGCCUUGCCCCCUCAACGGCCCCAGCGUGGUUCUCCUCGAGCCUGUCCCCGUGUGCCACCAGACCCCUCUUGCAUCCCCACCGCUUGUGUCACAUUGCCAGGGGUGGAUCCGCGGCUUGUACAGGACCCGCAGCCCCGAACAUGGACCGCUCGUCCCAGCUCACCUUCUCCGCGGCUGCAGCUGCUGCUCCAAUCCUGGCUGGCGAUGGUCGGCGUCUCCGUUGUCCCAGACCGCCCCGGCAUGAAAAGCACUGUAAGAGCUCUAAAGACCAAGGUGUCAGUGGAACCUCUCCAGGGACAGGAUCUGGACUGCAUGCUGUGCCCUGAUAAGAGGUCCCUCCGAUUCUGCACAAGUCAGGGCUCCCACCAUCUGAAGGGAUGUAUGAUUAUCUACACUAUGUUCUUUUUUCUUCUAGCGUUGGCGUCAAUAAAUGGAAAUUUAACCAA